UGCGAUACCUAGUGUGAAUUGCAGAAUUCCGCGAAUCAUCGAGUUUUUGAACGCAAGUUGCGCCCGAGGCUCGUACCGAGGGCAUGUCUGUCUGAGCGUCCA
Molecule: ribosomal RNA, 102 nt
Filed under: Frullania sp. B BlS-2016
Lineage: Eukaryota; Viridiplantae; Streptophyta; Jungermanniopsida; Porellales; Frullaniaceae
Description: partial 5.8S ribosomal RNA
Rfam family: 5.8S ribosomal RNA
About the family: 5.8S ribosomal RNA (5.8S rRNA) is a component of the large subunit of the eukaryotic ribosome. It is transcribed by RNA polymerase I as part of the 45S precursor that also contains 18S and 28S rRNA.
Source: RNAcentral